AGCGAACGCUGGCGGCAGGCCUAACACAUGCAAGUCGAACGAACUCUUCGGAGUUAGUGGCGGACGGGUGAGUAACACGUGGGAACGUGCCUUUUGGUUCGGAAUAACUCAGGGAAACUUGUGCUAAUACCGAAUGUGCCCUUCGGGGGAAAGAUUUAUCGCCAUUAGAGCGGCCCGCGUCUGAUUAGCUAGUUGGUGAGGUAACGGCUCACCAAGGCGACAAUCAGUAGCUGGUCUGAGAGGAUGACCAGCCACACUGGGACUGAGACACGGCCCAGACUCCUACGGGAGGCAGCAGUGGGGAAUCUUGCGCAAUGGGCGAAAGCCUGACGCAGCCAUGCAGCGUGAAUGAUGAAGGUCUUAGGAUUGUAAAAUUCUUUCACCGGGGACGAUAAUGACGGUACCCGGAGAAGAAGCCCCGGCUAACUUCGUG
Molecule: ribosomal RNA, 433 nt
Filed under: uncultured bacterium
Lineage: Bacteria
Description: partial 16S ribosomal RNA
Rfam family: Bacterial small subunit ribosomal RNA
Source: RNAcentral